AUUGAACGCUGGCGGCAUGCCUAACACAUGCAAGUCGAACGGCAGCACGUUAGAGGGUAACUUUUAAUGGCGGCGAGUGGCGUACGGGUGAGUAAUGCGUAGGAAUGUAUAAUAGAGUCGAGGAUAGCUUAUGGAAACAUGGGGUAAUACUGGAUGUUCCUGAGAAGUUAAAGCUGGGGACCUUUUGGCCUGGCGCUCUCAGGUGAGAUUACGUUAGAUUAGUUAGUUGGUGGGGUAAAGGCCUACCAAGGCGAAGAUCUAUAGCUGGUUUGAGAGGAAGAACAGGCACAAUGGGACUGAGACACGGACCAGACUCUUACGGGAGGCAGCAGUGGGGAAUCUUGGACAAUAGGCGAAAGCCUGAUCCAGCAAUGCCGCGUGUGUGAAGAAGGCCUUCGGGUUGUAAAGCACUUUCAGUGGGGAGGAGGCUAACUUUUUUUAAUAGAAAAAGUUGGUGACGUUACCUACAGAAGAAGCACCGGCUAACUCUGUGCCAGCCGCCGCAGUAA
Molecule: ribosomal RNA, 509 nt
Filed under: uncultured bacterium
Lineage: Bacteria
Description: partial 16S ribosomal RNA
Rfam family: Bacterial small subunit ribosomal RNA
Source: RNAcentral